RNAcentral lists this ribosomal RNA (566 nucleotides) under Clydonopoma poloense. Its description in RNAcentral is "partial 12S ribosomal RNA". Lineage: Eukaryota; Metazoa; Mollusca; Gastropoda; Littorinimorpha; Annulariidae. The record is from RNAcentral.
GCGGUUAAACUAAAGAAUCUAGUUAUAUUAAUUUGGUAAAAAGAUAGUUAGAUGAAGUUAUAUAUAGAGUUUUAGUUAUAAUAUAAUAUUAAGGUAAAAUUUAAAUUUUUUUAUUUUUAUAUAAACUUAUUGUUGAUGCUAUGAAUGUUUUUAAAGAAACUAGGAUUAGAUACCCUAUUAUUUUAAAUUAUAAAUUGAUUUUUUAUUUCUACCAAAGUAUUAUGAAUGUAAAUUUAAAAUUUAAAGAACUUGGCGGUGUCUUAGACUACUUAGGGGAACCUGUUUUUUAAUCGAUAGUCCUCGUUUUACCUUACCUUUUUUUGUUUUCAGUUUGUAUACCGUCGUCGUCAGUUAACUUUAGAAAAAAUAAAAGUUGUCUUUAAAAAUUUUAGUUUUAGAUGUCAGAUCAAGGUGCAGCUUAUAAAUUGGUUAAUAUGGGUUACAAUUAUUUAAUUAUAAAAUGAAUAACUUUAUGAAAUUAUUUUUUGAAGGAGGACUUAAAAGUAAUUUAAUUUAGAUAUAUUAAGUGAAUAUAGCUCUUGGAUGUGUACACAUCGCCGGNUCAC